Carica papaya (papaya) is the source of this 1363-nucleotide non-coding RNA. Lineage: Eukaryota; Viridiplantae; Streptophyta; Magnoliopsida; Brassicales; Caricaceae. The record is from RefSeq and is a predicted model, not a curated record.
AGUAAGAGAGAUUGAAAAAAAGGAUUUUUUAAGGUUCAGAGAUCCUGCCCUAAUACCAUGAGAAGUUGUAAUUAAAUUUUCUGUUUAUUGAAUUUUUAUUCAUGACACUUAAUUUAUGAUAUCUGAAUGCAUAUAAGAGAAGAUUAGUAGGAGUUUUAGUAUGAAACUAAAUAUAAAUUAGUACCAUAAAAGUAAAAAAUCUUCUAGUUAUAGAAGUCGACUAUGAUUCUACUUUAUAGAGAGAUCUUUUUUAAGAUAUCAAUCUAUACAGGAGUUUGACUUUUACAAGAAGUCGGAUUCUUACUGUUCGGUUUUUGUGUAACAGAAGAUUUGGGAUAUUCUUGAAUUGAGAACCUUCCAGUUGUCUUGUAAACAUGUCAGGCAUAUUGCUUAAUUCCUAGCAAGCUAUUUUUAAGGCUCAAAUCGGCUUUAAAAGGAUACAAGUUUCCAUGUUUUUCUUGUGAAUUUUUUUCCCUAGCAUGUUGAACACUUUUUCCCCUACUUUAGGUCUUGGAAAAUAAUGUGGGGUUUCCAUAUGAUAAUAACUAUCAUAUAAGCAACCUUGUUAAACUUUAGUUUUAAUUUUCUUCUCUUAUCCAUUUUGGUAAAAAGCAUUAUAUAAAUUAUCUCGAAACUCGUUGGUUGUUGAUGAACCUUAUGAUAAAGGGAAUGUAACUAAGAGAACAUGGUUAAAUCCACUCUUGUUUGAACCCAUCCAAAAUUGCCUUGUACUUUUUCUUAAUGAUUUGACUUAAAGGAUAAGAUCCAAACUCAAUUCAUCUCCAAAAGUAUAAAUUGCAAAUCUGUGACCACAAAUCUCAAAAUUAGCACAAACGGUUGAGUAUUCCCCAUGAACUUGCAGAAGUUUCAACUCAAAUUUGGGUUGGAAGUGGGUUGAAAGUGGCUUGAAAUGCUUCAGUUAAAAAAAGGGCACUUGGCUUUGUAUGCAGCUCCAUUUCAUAAGACGACUUAAGGUUCCCUUGAAGGUGGUAGUUUGGAAUUGGAUCUUGUGGGCAUCAAUGUGGCUGCUAAGGUUGAGUUCCAGCAAGGCAACAAUGGUUUGAGGUGUUGCUGGCAAGUGAGGUUUAUUAUAACGGAGGUAGGAUCUGAGACUUGGUGGGUGAUCGGUUGACAAUCUUGAGUGUUGAUAAUGGUGGAGGUGUUGUCCACCUCCUACUGGCGGCCAGAGAACUAAGGGGAAGGAUGGAAUGGAAUAGCUAUUAAGUCAUAAUAGAAUAAGGUUGUAAUUUGAUUGUGAUUACAUGAUCCUGUUUGGUUAGCAUAUUAGAAUAGCAGUUCCAUUGUUUGUUUGGUAUGUUGUUAUGGAGAUGGACUAAUUGAAAUGACUACAAUGUCCUUGUUA